This is a long non-coding RNA of Passer domesticus (house sparrow), 936 nucleotides long. RefSeq lists it as uncharacterized. Lineage: Eukaryota; Metazoa; Chordata; Aves; Passeriformes; Passeridae. The transcript has 2 exons. The record is from RefSeq and is a predicted model, not a curated record.
UGUCUGAGCAUGGCUGACUUCCCACAAUGCUUCUGUGCAGCAAAUAUAAAAUGGAUGGGCUCCAGGCAGGGUCAUGAUACAACUGCUCCCAUUUCAGGCUGCUGGAAGGGCUGGGCUCUGUUCCCAUGAGUGACACGGACACUGAGCGUGGAUGUCAUCUGGCACUGCCAUUGCAUCAGUCAGUGCUGGCUCAGCAACACGAUACCCAAAGUAUUUUAAAGGCAAGGAAUAUCGCUGAUGUUACGUACUCGAAUUAAGUUGAAAGCACUUUAUGCUUUCAGUUCAGCAUAAAAGGGCGAUUUGGUAAGUUCAGUUCUUGACUAGACUCAGUCCUGAGGCUGUGGCAGUAAUGAGAAUGCAGACCCAGGCGCUGACCUUCCUCCCUCACAGCCCGUGGCAGCAGCACUGUUUCCUGUCUCGCUGUGUUCCUGCCGCCGCAGAGCAGGAAAUCCUGACUGCCCAGAGGCGAGGCUUAAAAACCCUUCUGAAACAUGAAGUGACACACAUGCUCACCUAGCAAAUACAUAGCAGCUGGGUAAAUACAUCUAGAGAUGAGACCAUAAAAGCUGGUUAUUAAGGAAAGUAAAUCUGGCUAAUGUUAGAAAGCAAGAUGCGGGUGAGCUGAAUGCAAUACUUUGUUUUACAGAUUAGCACAUUCUAGUGCAGGAAGAUGAAGAAGAAUAGAAGCCAGGGGCUUCCUUGAAAUUGUGUUCAUCAGAGCUCAUUUUAUUCAUGCAGAAGUGUCUCAAAGUUAGGGAUUGUGAUUGGUAACCUUCUCCUGAAGAGGUGAGAUACCUCUAAAGCACAGCAUUAAAAGCAGUCUGCAGAGAACAAAAAGAAGCACAAGGCCAAAGAGAAAAGAUGUUGGAGCAGGUCGGUGGAGAUUUACAAGGGUGGAGUAUGUCCUUGUUGUUACCCAGCUUGUGGUUGAGUUUA